GCAAACAGAUAUCCAAGGUGAUCAAUUUAGCACACUUCCACUGAAGAGAUGUGAAGUGUACGUUCAACUGAAUUGUCCUCGUAAUUGUGUGCCUUCUCAGUAAUUGGGCAAGUUAAAGAGCAUGAUGAGUGUUUGUAGUAUAAUGGUGUAAAUCCUUUUGAUUUGUUGCAUGAAAGACAUGUGGGAUCAUGUGGCACCUGCUUUGAGAUUGAUUCUCAGGUGUAUGAGUUGCUUCUCUGAUUUUAGAUCACUUUGUCCUCAUCACUCGGCAUAUCCACGUUGAUACUGACACGGUUUUAUUUUAGUUUUGGACAUAUGACAAAUCAUACCAUGUUUGAAAUUCUAAGACUAUAUUUCAUGGAGCCUGUGUUCCCUUUUCUCAGCGUAUUUCUGUCAUGUUCUAGUCCCCAGACACAAAGUAGAAACCAUCAAAGCCUACGCUAAUACAGGCAGGAGGACAGAGGUUGAUGCUAACACUGCAUGAAUGUGUGGAUAAUAUUGUCAUUUUUACAUAUGAGUGAUUAUGAAUCCCUUUUACUUUUCAGUGUCUUCUGAGAAACCAUCAGGCUUGAAGGUAAUGAAACUGUCAUUUAUAUUGUGACCUAGUAAAUGUAUAGUCUAUGAAACAUACUUUAUUAAUUUAUUACUUUAUUUCAAAUUCCAUUCAGGCUACAAGUAACGAGAAAGAUUCUCUUUUGAAUAUAGCCAGAGGAAAAAAGCAUGGAGAAAAAACUAGGAGAGGUAUCAGCAAACAGAUAUCCAAGGUGAUCAAUUCAGGACACUUCCACUGAAGAGAUGUGAAGUUGUCUUCUCGGAAAAAACCAGCCUUGAAGGCUACAAGUGAUGGGAAAGAUUCUUUUUCAAAUAUAACCAGAGAAAGAAAGGAUGGAGAAAUAUCUAGGACAGUGUCUUCUGAGCAACCACCAGGCUUGAAGGCUACAAGUGACGAGAAAAAUUCUAUUUUGAAUAUAACCAGAGGAAAAAAGCAUGGAGAAAAAACUAGGAGAGUGUCUUCUCAUAAACAACCAGCCUUGAAGGCUACAAGUGACAAGGAAGAUUCUAUUCCAAAUAUAGCCACAAAAACAAAGGACGAACAAAUAUCUGGGACAGUGUCUUCUCAGAAACAACCAGCCUUGAAGGCUACAAGUGACAAGAAAGAUUCUGUUUCGAAUAUACCCACAGAAAUAAAGGAUGGACAACACUCUGGAACAGUGUCUUCUCAGAAACAACCAGCCUGGAAGGCUACAAGUGUCAAGAAAGAUUCUGUUCGGAAUAUAGCCACAGAAAUAAAGGAUGGACAAAUACCUGGGACAGUGUCUUCUCAGAGACGACCAGCCUUGAAGGCUACAGGUGAUGAGAAAGAUUCUGUUUCGAAUAUAGCCAGAAAAAUAAAGGAUGGAGAAAAAUCUGGGACAGUGUCUCCUCAGAAACAAUCGGCCCAGAAGGUUAUAUUUAAAAAGAAAGUUUCUCUUUCGAAUAUUGCCACAAGAAUAACAGGCGGUUGGAAAUCUGGAACAGAGUAUCCUGAGAAUCUGCCCACCUUGAAGGCUACAAUUGAAAAUAAAGAUUCUGUUCUGAAUACAGCCACCAAAAUGAAGGAUGUACAAACAUCCACACCAGCAGAACAAGACUUAGAAAUGGCAUCAGAGGGAGAGCAAAAGAGGCUUGAAGAAUAUGAAAAUAACCAGCCACAGGUGAAAAACCAAAUACAUUCUAGGGAUGACCUUGAUGACAUAAUUCAGUCAUCUCAAACAGUCUCAGAGGACAGUGACUCGCUUUGCUGUAAUUGUAAGAAUGUCAUAUUACUCAUUGAUCAACAUGAAAUGAAGUGCAAAGGUAGGACCAAUGCAUAAAUAUAAGGCUUUUAAAAAAUCCUAUAGCAAUGUAUGCACACAUUGCUUAGCACUGUACCAUAGAGUACUGAUAUGUUACAAGAAUGUUCAUCUCAGAAAUAUGCCUUAUGUUAAAAUAGAAUGAAAGCAACUGUAUCUUGUACCUUCUCAGCCAAAGAGCUAUGAUCAUUUCACUGUACUUUUCUCAGUGUGAAUGGCACGCCCAAUGUGUUUGUUUACUCUGCUUCUCGUCUAUGCCAUUACCCAUUUACCCGUGGUCAUGUUACCAUUUCUUCCCACCUGAAAUACUGUGAUAACCCUCUAACUGUCUUUCCUACUAUUCCACCUUCCAAAACCAUGGCCUGUUCUGCAAUCAUAAUUAUAUAGUUGUAAAAAAUCACACCUGAUCAUGUUACCUGCUUGCUGAAAACCCAGCUGCCAUUUAUUGCUAUAAGGUAUGGAUCUCAGUCCUCGAGCUUUAUACUGCAUCAUUGCAUACCCUUCUCUGUGCCACAGCCAGUGCCUUAGGUGUUUGCUCCUACAAUCAGUAGCUUUAGUGUGGUAUAAUUGAUAUGUGAUACAGUGCACACAUGUAAAAGGUACCAUUUGAUAAGUUUUAACAGAUGUAUACACAUGUGAAACUAUUACCAUCAUCGAGAUAGUCAACAUAUAUCCAUCACCCGCUAAUUUCUCCUCAUGGCCCUUCAUAUUCCUGUUUUUAAAAGCUGCUAAAUGGUUUUCCAAAAUAUUUGUACUAUUUUCUAUUCUCAUCAGCAGUAAAUGACCAUUCCAGUUGCUAUGUUGUCACACUACUGCUGUAUUUACUUUUUUAAAUUUUAGUUAUUCUGAUGGGUAUAUUAUGUAUAUUUUUAUGGGUUUAAUGUACACAAUCCUAAUGACUAAAAUGUUGAGCAUCUUUCCUUUAUUUGCCAUCUGUACAUCUUUGUUGAACUGUCUUUUCACAUCUUUUGCAUAUAAAAAAGUAGGUUGAUGUUUUCUUACUUGUUGAGUUUUAAUAAUUCUGUAUGUAUUUGGAUACUAUUACUUUUUAGCUACUUUUUUACAAGGGUAUUUUUGCCAGUUUUUGGGUUGACUUUUCACUUGCUUUGUAGUAUCUUUUGAAGAGCAGAAGAUUUUAAUCGUAAUGAAAUCCAAUUUAAUUGUUGAAUUACAGAUUUUGCAUUUUGUGUCAUAUGUAAAAAAUGUUGGCCUAGCACAAGGUCACAAAGAUUUUUCCUGUGUUUGUUCUAGAAAUUUUAUAGAUUUGUAUCUUCCAUUUAAAUCUGUGCUCCAUUUUGAGUUUCCUUUUGUCUAUGGAGUGAGGUGAGGUAUGGAUUCAAGUUCACUUUUUGGAUAUGGACAGCCAAUUGUUCCAACACCACAUGUUGAAAAGGCUAUCCUUUCUCCACUGCAUUGCCAUCCUGCCUUUGUCAGUCAUAAGCUGGUUGCAUAUGUGUUAUCUAUUUCUGGACUGUCUGUUGAAUUUUAUUAAUUUGCAGAAUGCUCCCGAAAUCUGUGGGAAACCCAGUGUUAUGACAAAAGCAAUUUAAUACUUCAGUAAACCCACUGUAAAGUCAAUAAGUCAAACCACCUUAAGUUGGGGAUUGUCUGAAUUUGACUUCUUUAUACAGGUGAGACAUUGCUA
Molecule: long non-coding RNA, 3477 nt
Organism: Pan troglodytes (chimpanzee)
Lineage: Eukaryota; Metazoa; Chordata; Mammalia; Primates; Hominidae
Source: Ensembl